This 457-nucleotide ribosomal RNA is filed under the name uncultured bacterium. Its description in RNAcentral is "bacterial SSU rRNA". It matches the Rfam family "Bacterial small subunit ribosomal RNA", at positions 335 to 784 of the family's 1533-position model. The record is from RNAcentral.
ACUCCUACGGGAGGCAGCAGUGGGGAAUAUUGCACAAUGGGGGAAACCCUGAUGCAGCCAUGCCGCGUGUGUGAAGAAGGCCUUGGGUUGUAAAGCACUUUCAGUAGGGAGGAAGGUAGUGUAGUUAACACCUGCAUUAUUUGACGUUACCUACAGAAGAAGCACCGGCUAACUCCGUGCCAGCAGCCGCGGUAAUACGGAGGGUGCGAGCGUUAAUCGGAAUUACGUGGCGUAAAGCGCAUGCAGGCGGCUUGUUAAGUCAGAUGUGAAAGCCCGGGGUCUUAACCUCGGAAUUGCAUUUGAAACUGGCAGGCUAGAGUCUUGUAGAGGGGUUAGAAUUUCGAGGUGUAGCGGUGAAAUGCGUAGAGAUCUGAAGGAUACCAGUGGCGAAGGCGGCCCCUAGGACAAAGACUGACGCUCAGAUGCGAAAGCGUGGGAGCAAACGAGGAUUACGAUA